Ceratotherium simum simum (southern white rhinoceros) is the source of this 178-nucleotide non-coding RNA. NCBI's taxonomy places the organism in Eukaryota, Metazoa, Chordata, Mammalia, Perissodactyla, Rhinocerotidae. The record is from RefSeq and is a predicted model, not a curated record.
UGUGUUCAUAGUCAUGAAUAUCUUGAUUUAUAUAUAAUUUCUUAUUCCAAAUAGGUGUCUAGCUGCAAAUAGGCAUCAUAAUUAUAACAUAAACACUAAUAUCAGAAGUAAUAACAAAGAUGAACAGAUGAAAAACAACAUUAGAAUCGUAAAAUGGAGCCAGGAAUUAGCUAGUACA